This 465-nucleotide ribosomal RNA is filed under the name uncultured bacterium. RNAcentral's name for it is "partial 16S ribosomal RNA". It matches the Rfam family "Bacterial small subunit ribosomal RNA", at positions 338 to 795 of the family's 1533-position model. The record is from RNAcentral.
CCUACGGGAGGCAGCAGUAGGGAAUCUUCCACAAUGGGCGAAAGCCUGAUGGAGCAACGCCGCGUGGGUGAAGAAGGUCUUCGGAUCGUAAAACCCUGUUGUUAGAGAAGAAAGUGCGUGAGAGUAACUGUUCACGUUUCGACGGUAUCUAACCAGACAGCCACGGCUAACUACGUGCCAGCAGCCGCGGUAAUACGUAGGUGGCAAGCGUUAUCCGGAUUUAUUGGGCGUAAAGGGAACGCAGGCGGUCUUUUAAGUCUGAUGUGAAAGCCUUCGGCUUAACCGGAGUAGUGCAUUGGAAACUGGGAGACUGGAGGGCAGAAGAGGAGAGUGGAACUCCAUGUGUAGCGGUGAAAUGCGUAGAUAUAUGGAAGAACACCAGUGGCGAAAGCGGCUCUCUGGUCUGUAACUGACGCUGAGGUUCGAAAGCGUGGGUAGCAAACAGGAUUAGAUACCCCGGUAGUC